GGUCUCUGAGCUGAGGCUGGAAGAGGGACAAAGCAGAAAACACAAAACGGUGAAGGAGCUGAGACAGGCCUGACGCUACAACGAAAAGCCCCAUCAACUGCCAUGGAAGAAGCCACACAAAGUAUGAGACGACAGUGAGCACCUCCUUCUGUUGGUGAUGAUGGUCAGAGAAAGGCUGUACAAAAAGUGCUGCACCUCGCAUCAGUGAGAGCUGACCAAAAACCAUGGAGAACUUUAUGGGCCAAGUGCUUUGUACAACAUGAGGAAACCUGCUGCUCUCAACAAAAGACAAGCCUGUGUGGGGGCUGAUUUCAUAUAAACUGGGCCAACAAACUGCAUCAUGUUGUUUCUUGUUGAAUGGAAGCCUCUCUGAUGGUUCAAACAAUAAAAGGGACAUUAUUUUCCCCA
This is a long non-coding RNA of Lates calcarifer (barramundi perch), 408 nucleotides long. RefSeq lists it as uncharacterized. Lineage: Eukaryota; Metazoa; Chordata; Actinopteri; Centropomidae. The record is from RefSeq and is a predicted model, not a curated record. The transcript has 3 exons.